This 253-nucleotide ribosomal RNA is filed under the name uncultured bacterium. Its description in RNAcentral is "partial 16S ribosomal RNA". It matches the Rfam family "Bacterial small subunit ribosomal RNA", at positions 524 to 776 of the family's 1533-position model. The record is from RNAcentral.
UACGUAGGGUGCGAGCGUUAAUCGGAAUUACUGGGCGUAAAGCGUGCGCAGGCGGUUUUGUAAGCCAGAUGUGAAAUCCCCGGGUUUAACCUGGGAAUGGCAUUUGGGACUGCAAGGCUCGAGUGCGGCAGAGGAGACUGGAAUUCCUGGUGUAGCGGUGAAAUGCGCAGAUAUCAGGAGGAACACCGAUGGCGAAGGCAGGUCUCUGGGCCGAUACUGACGCUGAGGAGCGAAAGCGUGGGGAGCGAACAGG